Molecule: ribosomal RNA, 460 nt
Filed under: uncultured bacterium
Lineage: Bacteria
Description: partial 16S ribosomal RNA
Rfam family: Bacterial small subunit ribosomal RNA
Source: RNAcentral
CCUACGGGUGGCAGCAGUGAGGAAUAUUGGUCAAUGGGCGAGAGCCUGAACCAGCCAAGUCGCGUGAAGGAUGAAGGAUCUAUGGUUUGUAAACUUCUUUUAUAUGGGAAUAACGUGCGGUACGUGUUCCUUUUUGUAUGUACCAUAUGAAUAAGCAUCGGCUAACUCCGUGCCAGCAGCCGCGGUAAUACGGAGGAUCCGCGCGUUAUCCGGAUUUAUUGGGUUUAAAGGGUGCGUAGGCGGUCAAUUAAGUCAGCGGUGAAAGUUUGUGGCUCAACCGUAAAAUUGCAGUUGAAACUGGGUGACUGGAGUGCAGUAGAGGUAGGCGGAAUGCGUGGUGUAGCGGUGAAAUGCAUAGAUAUCACGAAGAACUCCGAUUGCGAAGGCAGCUUACUAAACUAUAACUGACACUGAAGCUCGAAAGCGUGGGGAUCAAACAGGAUUAGAUACCCGUGUAGUC